GAGUACCACCGCUGUGUACUGACCUGGCAUCAUCAGGAACCCCUGCCUUGGGCACAGAGUACAGGAAAUCAAAUGAGUAGUCGCCUAAUGAGCAUGCGCAGUGCCAACGGCCUUCUGAUGUUGCCUCCUAAGACAGAGCAAUACGUGGAGCUGCACAAAGGCGAGGUGGUGGACGUGAUGGUCAUAGGGCGGCUAUGAUGAAAUCAAAGCAGAAAAGAGAAAUGUGGUGCAUGUCCACAUAUCAUUUAUUAUAUUGUAAUAUGCAACGGCACAGUUAUUUUUGAUUUUUUUUUUUUCCCCCCUAUUUGGACAAAAGUUACCGAAGUAUUCUCAUCGCAAACGAUCAAAUCAUGUCAAUGGAAAUGUUGUGUUGGGGGAACAAAAAAGCCUGGUGUUGUAUGCGUUCACACAACGCAACAUAACAUUUAAAAGCAUCUUUGCAGACGUUCCAGCAGCUCAUUUCAUUUCGGUUUCAUGGUUGACUCAUAGAAAACAUUCUUCCUGUCCUUUUGAUCAGUUUUCUGGGUAACGAAACCCCCAUUGUCUCCACUUGUUAAUAAUGGCUUUCUCAGUGUUUCAUGGCACAGCUAUUGUAAAAUAUUGCAACUUUCGGCAUCCCUUACACACUUUGUAAAGGAUAAUUCGAUCCAUUUUCUAAGAGCGCGUACCCACCUGUCCCACUAGAUUAUUGCAAUAAUUGUUCUUUUUUUUUUUUUUUCCCUAAUAUAUUUCUAUUUGAAUUUUCCAAUUUGUUUUGGCUGCUAAAUUACAUUAAUGAUGAAAAUAUAAAAA
Silurus meridionalis is the source of this 792-nucleotide long non-coding RNA. RefSeq lists it as uncharacterized. The record is from RefSeq and is a predicted model, not a curated record. The transcript is spliced from 2 exons. NCBI's taxonomy places the organism in Eukaryota, Metazoa, Chordata, Actinopteri, Siluriformes, Siluridae.